AUGGGUGUAGCUCAGAGGUAGAGCACUCAACUAGAGUGCAUAAGGCUCUGGGUUCCAUUCCCAGUACCAUUA
RNAcentral lists this transfer RNA (72 nucleotides) under Urocitellus parryii (Arctic ground squirrel). Its description in RNAcentral is "Spermophilus parryii (Arctic ground squirrel) tRNA". It matches the Rfam family "tRNA". From Rfam's summary of the family: Transfer RNA (tRNA) molecules are approximately 80 nucleotides in length. RNAcentral also lists the same sequence under 1 other name. Lineage: Eukaryota; Metazoa; Chordata; Mammalia; Rodentia; Sciuridae. The record is from Rfam by way of RNAcentral.